Molecule: ribosomal RNA, 253 nt
Filed under: uncultured bacterium
Lineage: Bacteria
Description: partial 16S ribosomal RNA
Rfam family: Bacterial small subunit ribosomal RNA
Source: RNAcentral
GACAGAGGCCACAAACGUUAGGCGGAAUCACUGGGCUUAAAGCGUGUGUAGGCGGACCGUUAAGUGCCUUGUGAAAUCCCCCGGCUCAACCGGGGAAUGGCUGGGCAUACUGGCGGUCUUGAGCCACCUAGGGGCAACUGGAACAAGCGGUGGAGCGGUGAAAUGCGUAGAUAUCGCUUGGAACGCCAAAGGUGAAAACAGGUUGCUGGGGGUGUGCUGACGCUGAGACACGAAAGCCAGGGGAGCAAACGGG